RNAcentral lists this ribosomal RNA (775 nucleotides) under uncultured Neocallimastigales. RNAcentral's name for it is "partial large subunit ribosomal RNA". It matches the Rfam family "Eukaryotic large subunit ribosomal RNA", at positions 23 to 620 of the family's 3401-position model. The record is from RNAcentral. Lineage: Eukaryota; Fungi; Neocallimastigomycota; Neocallimastigomycetes; Neocallimastigales.
AGAGAGAGACAUGCGCGCAUAUCAAUAAGCGGAGGAAAAGAAACUAACAAGGAUUCCCUUAGUAACGGCGAGUGAAGCGGGAAGAGCUCAAAUUUGAAAUCUUCAAGGUUUUACCUUGACGAAUUGUAGUUUAAAGAAGUGUUUUCUGCUGAAGUUUUGGUAAAAGUUCUUUGGAAUAGGACAUCAUAGAGGGUGAGAAUCCCGUAUUUGACCAUUAUUUUCAGCUUUGUGAUACACUUUCAAAGAGUCGGAUUGUUUGGGAAUGCAGUCCAAAAUGGGUGGUAAAUUUCAUCUAAAGCUAAAUAUUGGCGAGAGACCGAUAGCGAACAAGUACCGUGAGGGAAAGAUGAAAAGAACUUUGAAAAGAGAGUUAAACAGUACGUGAAAUUGUCAAAAGGGAAGCGUUUGACACCAGUGUUGUUUUCUCGAAAAUCAAUUAAAAAUGGCUCGAUUUUGUAUUGCUUGAGACCUUAAAAGCUCACUGUACAUUUUUCGUGUCUUUUUUAAUGCACCUUUCGUUUAACAAGUCAACAUCAGUUUCUUUUGUUGUAAAAGGGUCAUUGGAAGGUGGCUUUCUUUUCGGAGAAAGUGUUUAUAGCCUUUGGCCUCUGCAAUCGGAGAGACUGAGGUCUGCAGCGUAGACUCUUCGGGGUUAGAUACAUUUGUGCUAAGUUAUAGCUUUUUAUAGACAACUUGUUGACUAUAAUUAGUCUUGUAGCUUACUCGCUUAUGCUAUUUUACCUACGCUUAGGAUGUUGAAGAUGUAGCACAUCAU